UACGUAGGGGGCAAGCGUUGUCCGGAUUUAUUGGGCGUAAAGAGCGUGUAGGCGGCCACACAGGUCUGCUGUGAAAACUCGAGGCUCAACCUCGAGCUGUCGGUGGAAACCGUGUGGCUAGAGUGCGGUAGAGGGUAGUGGAAUUCCCGGUGUAGCAGUGAAAUGCGUAGAGAUCGGGAGGAACAUCUGUGGCGAAGGCGACUGCCUGGACCAGCACUGACACUGAGGCACGAAAGCGUGGGGGAGACAAACA
This 253-nucleotide ribosomal RNA is filed under the name uncultured bacterium. RNAcentral describes it as "partial 16S ribosomal RNA". It matches the Rfam family "Bacterial small subunit ribosomal RNA", at positions 524 to 774 of the family's 1533-position model. The record is from RNAcentral.